Molecule: long non-coding RNA, 442 nt
Filed under: Gossypium barbadense (sea-island cotton)
Lineage: Eukaryota; Viridiplantae; Streptophyta; Magnoliopsida; Malvales; Malvaceae
Description: long non-coding RNA (GBAR_LNC001932)
Source: RNAcentral
CCUUCAUAAAAAAAUAAAAUUGGAUUAAUUACACUAUACAUUCUAAACUAUUGGUUAAAUUCUAAAUUUGUCCCUAAAUUUUAUAAUAUUUUAAUUGAAACUUUAAAUUAAGGUACUAUUUCAAUCAAAUCCUUCUAUCAGUCUAACUAUCUACUUCGGUGUUAAAUGCAAAGAUUGGUGUUAACACUAGUGCCUAAACUGUUGUUCCAAUAGGGUCGGAAGCGUGUAAAUUAUUGUACUAAAAAAUCACACAAAGUUCAAUUCCCAGGGAAGAGAGGUGGAUCACAUGGAUCUCUUAAAUACCAAGUCUUUCCUUAGUCAGAAUAUCCCUUCUAUAGUAAUUUAAUAGCACAAUUAAAUACUACUAUUAUACCCUCAAAUAUUGAAAGAAAAAUAGGACAAAAAGAACAUAAGAGUUUUAACGAGGUUCGGUAAAUUAUAC